GACUUUAUUUACUUUUGUUUUAAUUAGUUAUACAUGACAGUAAAAUGCACCCUAACACAUCACACAUAGAUGGAGUAUAAUUUCUCAUCCUUCUGGUUGUACAUGAUGUAGAAUCCCACUGGUCAUAUAGUCAUAUGUGUACAUAGGGCAAUAAUGUCUGAUUCAUUCUGCUAUCCUUCCUACCCCCAAACCCCGUAUUUAUUAACUUUGUUUUUAUUUUGUAUAUCAUAUAAUUAAUAUUACAAAUAAGAAUAAUAUGUAGAUUUUUCUUUCAUAUUUUAUUGUAAAAUAUAAUACAUAUAAGUAAAUAAAAUAUGAACAUAAUAAUCUAUUACAAAUAAUUCUAAUCAUUCUGUUUUAUUCCUAAUGAUGAUUAUUUGUGCCCCCUCCCUUUACUCUUGAUUAGUCUUGUCAGGAUUGCAUUAAUUUUGUUUUGUCCCCAAACUAGCUUUUAGUUUCUUUAAUACUUUAUAUAUUGUGUAUUUUUUUCAUUUUAUUAUUUCUGCUCUUUUUACUAUUAUUUACUAAUUUCUUUCUACACAGCAAUUUUUCUAGCUUUUUGAGAAUUCUCACUUCCUUAAGUUUUACCUCCUUCCUGUAUUUUCAUUUAUUUUACUAAAUGUUUG
RNAcentral lists this long non-coding RNA (626 nucleotides) under Marmota monax (woodchuck). Lineage: Eukaryota; Metazoa; Chordata; Mammalia; Rodentia; Sciuridae. The record is from RNAcentral.